AUCAUACCCUAUCCAAUAAUAAAGAAAUUUGAAUUUGAAUGGUAACAAUUCCGUUAAAUCCUCGUCCUCGUUUUGAUAGUCUCACUCAUGGCCGAUCAGUGUGUUCUUUCUGAUUAGCUCUUAAUUGAGAUCACCUGUCACGCACCCCUUUAUAAAAGGUGGACACAAUGGGUUUGGUUUACUUUUCGCAUCAGCCUGUGUCAAUCGAGGUUGAGUUUAGUGAGGGUUGAAAGUUUUCGAUCUAGAUUGUAGAUCACUAUUGUCACUUUAUACAAACUGAAAGUAUGCGUUGUUGCGUGUUUGUUUUUGUGGGCAUUUGACUGAACAGCCCAGACAAAUAUUGCUACCAACAUGGCACUUCGAAACAGACCACCGCAGUGUUAGAUGACUGAAAAGAUCUAUGUGGGGGGGCCCCCUUUGGGCCCCCCCAUACCAACUUAGUCUUCAAAGGAAUCUAGUGCCAUGGGACUCCAGUGUCUUCAAAACAUCCUCGGAAUACAUGUGUAUGAAUGGUCCACCGAAGGGUUGAUCUGGAAGCCACCACGGUCCACGCAGUAAUCCGCUGCGUCGGCCGUAGUGGCUUCCAGAGCCAUCUUUCGGUCUUGGUCAGGAUUUGUUGCAGUUGCCCUUCAAUGUAGCAGGCUACGGGUUUCUGAAGAAGCCUGCUUUACGUAGCAUUGGAGUACAAAUAUUGUGCAAAAUGCUCAUGUAAUUGCACCAGCACUGGUAACCUGUAGAUCAGCUUAGUUUAACGUCAUUCCGUGCUGUCUGUCAAAUGUGUGGCUUACUUUAAGUCCACAAGGCCCUCUGGUAAACCCCGUUGGAACACCCCUGGACAAGGUGAUUAGUCACUGGGUGUGUGCUAAAGUUUUGUUCCAUUUUUCACUAGUUGGUUAAGGUUUGGUAGAAUUGUUUGGAUGCUAGCGACGUGAUGGCGUAUGUACAAGAGCCUACCGUGGCCAGGCCACAGUUGCGACGGCCACGGCCAGAUGGCCUAGUGUGAGUGCAACCUUGAUUGCAUUUGUAUACUGUUUACCAUUGGAUGUUUAUGCAAUUUGGAUUAAUUCAUCCGCUGUAAAGCUGCAUUUGACUAUUCCAGGGUCGUUCUGUACAGGCUUUCAAUUGACCAUGUUGACUAGUUUGUGGGAAGUUUAAUUUUUUUUUUUUUUACCCUUGCUUACUGUGAGAAGGUGAAAUCCUCCCCCUUCUCACUGUCUCACAUUAGAGAAAUUAUUAUUAUUAUAUUGUGUGUGUAUAUAUUAUAUUGGGCUGGUGUGAGAUUGGUCUUCCGUCCCGGUAGGGGGCAGUAUGCUAAGGGAGCUUAGGAUCAGAGUAUCAGGGAAUAGCCCAGGGGGGGGUUUAUAGAAACAGCUGUUUUGUAAAUAGGUUGUGCACAGGGUGUGGGUAUAAAUGUAUUUGAUUGUUUAUUUAGUGUCAUGUUUAUUUAGUAUUCACACAAUGUACUUUCUGUUCAGUUAUGUUGGAUUGGUAGCUUUAGGUAAAUAAUGUUCCCCCAACUAAUGGUCUGGCCCGUACGGCCGUGAUUGGUCCAAUUGCCAUUUCCCUAUUUAAGGGCUUUCUCAUUUGGUGUUUGGGGCGGAAGGUGGUGCUGGCUUGACGUGAGGCCAGUACGAGAGACGUAUGGUUAGGUUAGGCUAUGCUAUGUUAUAUUUUCUUAGUGUAUGUUUGCUGACGGAUGCAGUCAUUUCCUUUUCAUUUGAAACGUUGCUCUAUUUUUUGUGAAUGUUUUGGAGAUAUUAAAACGUCACUUUUUCUUAGACCUCAGUCCAUCGCCCCAUUUUUUGCCCGCACUCGAAAUUCCCAGUUGGCUGUAUCCCAGAUACGUGGGGCGACCACGCCGGUCCCUCACACUUACAAUCCAACGGUUGCGACCACUUAUGCAACUGGGCUGUGAACCUUGCAAAUCUAGUUGCAUAUUUGUACACGCAAGCUUGUCCAUUUCUAUCACCAUCACUAACACUAGCUUCAGCAUUUCCUUGUAGGCCAUUAGCUGAAUUGUGUAUUGGAGCGAUGAUUUGGGUAUUUUAAGAUGCUUGAAAACCUCAAAUAAAGCAAAAUGCGUGUCUGGUGUGCAAGAGCCAAUUUGUUGGCUUGCAGUAGUCGAGGAGUUGCCGUAGGUCGUAAGCCAUCUGGAGGUUGUGGCAAUGGAGGCUUGUGGUAGAUCUGCCAUCCAAGAAAGGUUAAUUCUUCUGAAGCAUGAUUAAUAGUUUAGUAAAUUGAAUCUAUUCAUAUAGAACUAUAAAAUCCAAGACUGCAGCCAGUAACUUGGAUCGCAAUAUGUGGAAAGUAUUAGUCUUAAUUUGUUAGAAUGAAUAAUUAACAUGACUAACUGGGUUUCUUCCAUUUUCUAACUAUGGGGACUUGACUGGUGAGUCUACUGGAUUAAUCAGUAGUGGUAAUUAGCCCAACAGAUUUGAUGGCAUGACUACAGGGUGACAAAGACAAUUAUUC
Gadus chalcogrammus (walleye pollock) is the source of this 2472-nucleotide long non-coding RNA. RefSeq lists it as uncharacterized. Lineage: Eukaryota; Metazoa; Chordata; Actinopteri; Gadiformes; Gadidae. The record is from RefSeq and is a predicted model, not a curated record. The transcript is spliced from 2 exons.